This 568-nucleotide long non-coding RNA is filed under the name Pandoravirus celtis. RNAcentral describes it as "hypothetical ncRNA". The record is from RNAcentral.
AGCACGUUGCGCACCUGGCGGUCCAUGCGCGGAUAAGCCUCUUCCAAGUCAAACUCGCCCAUGAGCCUGUCGCCCACACGGUAGAGAUUGAUGGUCGCCGCCAAGGGGUCGACCUGAAUGUCCGAGAGGAUGUCGAGGACGACAUCGAGGCUUUCGCCCUGGCGCACCGCCAAAGCAGCCUCGGCAAUCUUUUGUCGGUUGGCCGGUAGGGACGCAAUAGUGAGGCGCGUGUCAGCGAGGGAAAUGGAUCCGACCGACAGGACCAAGUGGUCCGACAAAGCGGCCGGCUCGGCUCGGCUUGGGUUGCCGAGACUGUCUGACAGCGGCGCGGCCUCCGUGGCACUGGCGAGCGCCUCGGCUGCCUGGGCGGCCUCUGGUGCGCCCUGGUGGACAGACGCGCCGAGGGUCGACAGGGCGUUGGUGAGGGCUUUCAUAGCAGAACCCAGUUUGUCUGUCGCGAUCACAGUGUUGGCGUCGCCGUCGUGGUGGCACGUAGUCAUGAUCCUUUUUGCGCUGAAUCCUUGUCCUCAAGAGGGAAUCAAAAGUCAAAAGCCAAAACAAAAAAGAG